CACGUAGGGCGCAAGCGUUUGUCCGGAAUUAUUGGGCGUAAAGAGCUCGUAGGCGGUCUGUUGCGUCCGCUGUGAAAACUCGGGGCUUAACCCCGAGCCUGCAGUGGAUACGGGCAGACUAGAGGUAGGUAGGGGAGAAUGGAAUUCCCGGUGUAGCGGUGAAAUGCGCAGAUAUCGGGAGGAACACCGGUGGCGAAGGCGGUUCUCUGGGCCUUACCUGACGCUGAGGAGCGAAACGUGGGGGAGCGAACAGG
RNAcentral lists this ribosomal RNA (254 nucleotides) under uncultured bacterium. Its description in RNAcentral is "partial 16S ribosomal RNA". It matches the Rfam family "Bacterial small subunit ribosomal RNA", at positions 524 to 776 of the family's 1533-position model. The record is from RNAcentral.